AGUUCCCCGAGACUGGACGGGAUCACUUCCGGUGGGGAAAGUCCCACCUCUUCGGGGCGAGCCGGGUGGCGCUGGAGCCGCGCCCUGCUGAGCGAGCGAGCCGGCCGGGGACGGUUUCGGGUCGGGACUCCGGCUUCGGGAACGGGCCUCUGGAAACCUGCGACGUCAGUCCUUACCCGCCCGCGGCUGCCGCGGACCGUCCCAACCCCAAACCCGUAGAAGCACCUCCGACCUGCAACCUCCAGCCGCCCGGCCCUAGGACUUGAGCCGCUCCCUGGCCGGUGCGGAACCUGCGGGCUAAUAAUCUAGCGACCGGGAGAACGCCAAACAUCCCUGGACUAGAAGUUGCAGGGGAAAUCAAACAGCCCAGAAAGUUUAUUCUCCUUGCUGGUAUUUCUUCCACUUGCUAUUUUGCUGAGAGAUGCAUGCAAACUACCCUUAGACUUCAGAUGCAGUGCGUUUUACUUAGCCGUGCCUGACAAUUAAACACACAGAACUUUUACCGUCUGGUAGAUCCGCCUUGACUUUACCAGCGAAUACUAAAGUCACUUAAAAAAAAAUCACAAGGCUCGAAAACAGCAGCAUUAGAAGUAGACUUUAUGGUACUCUGCUCAGCUAUGUUCUCAUUUGAUUCCAACCACUACACGGCAGAAAAGGAAAGAAGACUGAAUAAUGAUUGGAAGAACGCCGGAGUUGUCAAGCUUUUUUGAUAACUGCAUAUGUGAACUAGGUCAAGUCACUCUCCCUCAACGGAUCACCAGUUUACCCAACUGUAAAUGGCAACAAUUUUGAACUGAACGUCCUUCCUUCUACAGCCAAAAUUCUUCGUUUGCUAGGUUUGUGAAGUGCUUUUAUAUGUAUGUGCGCUUUCUUAACUAUUAAGAUAUCUGAGUCAUCGAACUUUUGGUGGGGGCAAUCUCAUGAUAAGUCAUGACUAGAUUUUAGAGUUUUCUCAUCCCCAUACUCAAAGUUUUUUUUUUAAGAAUAAAAAUGAAAAGAAACAAUACCCCACAAUAUUUCUGAGCCUCAAAGGACAGACUAAAAAAGCUAACUUUUAAAAUACUUCAUUUUGAAAUAAUUUUGAACUGACAAAAAAAUCGCAAAAAUAAUACCUGGAGUCCCUGUAUACCCUUCACCCAGAUUCCCCUACUGUUAAAUACUUACAUAACCAUAACACAAUUACCAAAACCAGGAAAUUAACACUGGUACGAGACUCUUAACAAGAGAUCUUAUUUGAAUGUCACCAAUUUUCUUCCUAAUGUUCUUCUGUUCUAGGAUCCAAUCCAGGUUCCCACAUGGCAUUUAUUCCUCACUUCUCCUUAGUCUCCUCCAAUCUGUGACACUUUCUCAGUCUUUCCUUGUCUUUCAUGACCAUGACACUUUGGAUGAGUACUGGUCAUUUAUUCUGUAAAAUGCCUCUCACUUUGUGUUUGUUGAAUGUUUUCUCAUGAUUAGACCGAGACCAUGUCUUUUUGGCAGGAACAUCACAGAAAUGGUGUGUAUCCUAUCUGAGGGUAUGUGAUAUUGAUAUAUCUUAUCACUCAUUAUGUUAACCUUAAACACCUGGUUAAAGUGGCAUCUGCUGGGUUUCUCCACUGUAAAGUGACUAUUUUCCCUUUAUUUACUUAUUUUAGAAACAGGGUCUUGCUGUGUUGCCCAGGCUGGAGUGCAGUGGCACAAUCACUGCUCACUGCAGCCUCAAUCUCCCAGGCUCAAGCGAUCCUCUGCCUCCUGAGUAGCUGGGACUACAGGCAUGCACCAUUAUGCCCAGUUAAUUUUUAAAAAAAUGUUUUGUAUAGACAGGGUCUCGCUAUAUUGCCCAGGCUGGUCUCAAACUCCUGGCCUCAAGAGAUCCUCCCACCUCAGCCUCCCAAAGUGCUGGGAUUAAAGGCAUGAGCCAGCCACCAUGCCUGGUCUAUUUUUCAUUGAUAAAUGAAAUAGACCAUGCCUGGUCUAUUUUUCAUUGAUAAAUGAAAUAGACCAUGCCUGGUCUAUUUUUCAUUGAUAAAUGAAAUAGACCAUGCCUGGUCUAUUUUUCAUUGAUAAAUGAAAUAGACCAUGCCUGGUCUAUUUUUCAUUGAUAAAUAUCCUGGGAGAAAUACUUUGGGACAAUGCAAAUAUCCUGUUUCUCCUCCAACUUUUACCCACUGAUUUCAGCAUUUAUCAGUGGAUCCUGCCUGCAACCAUUAUUACCAUGGCAUUUGCCUACUAGUGAUUUUGUGUUUCCUUCAUUUGUUCUCCAUUUAUUAAUUGGAAUUCUUCUGUAAGGAGGAGUUGUCCCUUCUCCCCAACUUAUCCAUUUAUUCAAUUUUUUUGUAAACUAUGGACUCAUGGGCAUCUAUUUUAUUCUAUGAGCUAUAAUUCAAUACUGUCAUCAUUUAGUUUCUUGCUCAAGUUAUUCUAACUUCAGCCAUUGGGAGCUCCUUCAGACUGGCUACUAUGCUGUCUUGUCAUGCCCCCACCCUUUCUCUAGCACUUUCUUACAUUCUUACACCAAAAGACAUUACAGCCUCAUCUUGUAUUUUCCCUGCUUCUGUCCAGAAUUAGCCAUUAUUCCAAAGAUCCCGAGUUCCUUUAUUGGAGAAUGAUAUUAGACACAAAGAUGUGGGUACUAAGUAUGCUCGUUGCUGUUGGGGUGUUAAUUGCUUCUAGGGCCUCCCAAGACAGAGCUAGGAAAUGAAAGCAUACAUAAUAACCCAUGCAUACACACAGAUCAAUAUCUAUUCCUGUAUCUAUCUGUAUACAUACUCAUGUGUCCUUUCUAAUCCACACCAUGGUAUUCAUCCUAACCUUCCCUUUUUAUUUUUAACUUUUUUCCUCUGAUAGUGAGAAAAUAGGCUCUCAUUAUCUACUCUAUAUACAUUUAUUUGUUCAACCUCAGUAUCUACAUACUUACAUAUGCCUGUGAGGAACAGAUUUACUAACUAGAAUCCUGUAUUUGUGUGCAAUUCUUUUUAUCUUUAUUAUAAAUAUAGUACCUCCAGGCUUCUUUUUAUUAGUGUCAGCAUGACAUAGCUUUUCCCAUCUUUUUACUGUUAAUAUUUUAAACUCAAAAAAAGCAAGGAGGAAAACAGUAUGCUACUAUCUGUGUGAAAAUGGAAAAUAAGUAUGGAUAUAUUUGCUCAUAUGUAUACAUAUAAUAUCUAUGGGAGAGGGAAAACCAAAAUAUCAGUUUGGAGGUCAACUGAUUAACUGGGGGAAAGAGAUGAGGGGAAAACUUCGCUGCAUACUCUACUAUCGUUGAAAUUUCUUAAACUUUUUCAUUGAGUAUAAUUCACAAAUCAUAAAACUCACCCUUUUAAAGUCUACACAUCAGUAGUUUUUAACACAUUUAUAUACAAAGUUGUGUAACUAUCAUCACUAAUUCCAGGACAUUUUCAUCACCCUUAAAAAAAAGCCAUGUACCCAUUAGUAGUUAAUUCCCAUACCCCUCACCCCUCACUCACCCAUCUACUGCCCUUCACAAGACCCUGGCAACCACUAAUCUGCUUUCUGUCUCUAUGGAUUUGCCAACUCUUGAUGUUUCAUAUAAAUGGAAUCACACAUAUGUGACAUUUUAUGUCUGGCUUCUUUCACUUAACAUCAUGUUUUUAAGGUUCAUCCAUGUUGUAGCAUGGAUCAGUACUUUGUUCCUUUUUGUGGCUGAGUAAUAUUACAUUGUAUGUAUAUACCAUAUUUUGUUGAUGUACUCAUUAGUUGACUGUUUUUCUAAAUGUUUGAAUUAUGAAAAUAUCCAUUCAAAAAUUAAACUUUAAAAAAUAGAAACAAAA
Molecule: long non-coding RNA, 3770 nt
Organism: Gorilla gorilla gorilla (western lowland gorilla)
Lineage: Eukaryota; Metazoa; Chordata; Mammalia; Primates; Hominidae
Exons: 2
Source: RefSeq, a predicted model, not a curated record